This is a long non-coding RNA of Andrographis paniculata, 418 nucleotides long. RefSeq lists it as uncharacterized. NCBI's taxonomy places the organism in Eukaryota, Viridiplantae, Streptophyta, Magnoliopsida, Lamiales, Acanthaceae. The transcript has 6 exons. The record is from RefSeq and is a predicted model, not a curated record.
GAAAGACCUCAGGUCGGAAGGUCUUCAGGUCGGGAGGUCCUCAAGACGGAAAGACCUCAGGUCGGAAGGUCUUCAGGUCGGGAGGUCCUCAAGACGGAAAGUCAUCAGGACGGAAGGACCUCAGGUCGGUAGGUCCUCAAGACGGAAAGACCUCAAGUCGGAAGGUUUUCAGGUCGGGAGGUCCUCAAGACGGAAAGACCUCAAGUCGGAAGGUUUUCAGGUCGGGAGGUCCUCAAGACGGAAAGACCUCAAGUCGGAAGGUUUUCAGGUCGGGAGGUCCUCAAGACGGAAAGACCUCAAGUCGGAAGGUUUUCAGGUCGGGAGGUCCUCAAGACGGAAAGACCUCAAGUCGGAAGGUUUUCAGGUCGGGAGGUCCUCAAGACGGAAAGACCUCAAGUCGGAAGGUUUUCAGGUCGGG